GGACUUUUGUCUUGGGGCUCACAGUAUUUUACCCCCUUCAGGGAGGUGGCUGGUUGUAGUUUAGCAAAACAGCCACUGACAUCGCUGCUCCUUCAGCCUCUGCAGACAGAGCUGCAAGAUCCUCGAGGCCUUUUUAAUCCCCAGAAACAAGGUGUUAAAACAGACCAAAAUGUGUUCUCCCGCCCAGAAGCAAGCAAAGCCAACCCCAGCUGCAGUUCCCUGACAGUCCAGUGAAUUCAGCCAAAGGAAAUGGCCCCACAUGGAGGGCAAGUGACAGAAGACCUGAUGACUCCGGUGGCUCAGCGGAGAGUGCAUUAAUAGGCUUGACCACUUCUGCUCGAUCUUCAGGCAAGCUGGGUCUGACCCCUGGACACUGUCCCCUGGAGCCCCUGGCCUCCACGUGUCCACCCACUGCCAUGGUCAUGGCUCCUCAGCAGGAGGAGGCCCAGCAGCCUCCAGGUGCCCCUGCCUGGUGCUAGCUGCCCACCGAAGCUCUAGCCUCACACUCUCAGGUUCAAAUCCAGCGACAAGAGCGGAUCCCACAAAGGCCACGAGAGUCACCCUAAACGGUCAGCUUAGGUCCUUCGUUCACUGAGCCCAUCGCUGUCCAGGGCAAGUGGUGCUGGCUGGGCUAGGUCCAGCUCCCGUGUCCACCCUGGGACCUGAGGUUCAGGGUCAGCUCACCCUAGACACAUGGAUCGAGUGGGGAGGGUGAAUCCUCAAAUGCUAAUCAGGUUCUGUUGUACAGAAGGGGAAGCGGAGGCAGGAGGAUGCAGCAAGACCUGUUCCCUCCUCUAACGGCACUCAUAGGACAGCCCAGCCACACAUUCAAAGAAUCUUGAAGGAAUAGGAUGGUUGGUAUGGUUGGUGUGGAAGAAGGUUCAUAAAUUCUGGAUUUAGCUUUGUGGGAUUCAGCUGACCUGAAAUUUAUACCUGUGCAGGUAGGUGGUUGCUGGGUAGGGUGACCACUACUGUCUCUCUCCAUCACCCAGGGCUGUUUUCAGCUCAAAGCCACAGAAGCCCAGGCAUGGUGGCAUCUCCGGGGGAAGUUGCCUUAUUCCAGAUUCACAGGUCCGGGGCGAAGGGGCCAGGCAGGGCAGGUGUGGGGCGGCAGGAUAUCGCCCUGGGCCUGGCUCCUUCUGCCUUUCUGCCACCAUCUUCAGCGGUGCCAUUACCUCGAGGCCUUCUGUGGUUGCUGGAGCUGCCACGCUCGGCCUCCUGUCUGCCUCCAGAUGGGAGAGGAGGAAGGAGGAGGUGAGAGCAGGAAAGAGCUUACAUAAAAGACCACAUUUUCCCAGAAUCCCCAGCAGCUGCCUGUUCUCCCCCUCCACUGGGCUAGAGCUGUGUCACACAGGCUGAGCGGCCAGGAAGCUGGGCACCAUCCAGGGAGUGUGUGAUCGUCGGGGUCCUGUUGAUUCCUGCUUUUGAGUAAUGAAGGUGACCAAACCACAUGACCCUGUCUGCAAAGAUUCCACCUGGACUCCCAGUUCCUCCAAGGAACCGUCAUGUGGUUCAAAUCCAAUGAAAUUCUCUAAAUCUCCACCCUCCUCAGGGUGCAGAGUUGGCUGCUUCUCUGUGCCCCCUGCUGAUCACGGCAACCCCUGGGUGCCUCGGCCUGCGAAGCCCCAGCUGUCCUCCGUCUGCAGACAAGCCGAGGUAUGAAAGCCUCCUCGCUGGCCCAGGAGCCUGUCAUUGUCCUCCAGCAGCUCUAGCCUGGAUGCGGUCCCAGAGAUAAAUCAUAUCUCUUUAAAAAGCCACAGUGGCCCAUUAUUUCUGCUUGAAAAUACCCCUGGCUCUCUGCUGGUGAGCUGGUUGACAGGCCCCGGCUGUUGUGCUCAGUGCUGCAAAGAGUCACGUCAGUCUGUCGACUUGUGUAGUGAGCAAGCUGGUAGCUUCAGAUGGUAUGCACAUGAAAUCCCGUCCUGGCAUCCAGGACUUGGCUGGGGGUUGCAGAGAGAACCACAUCUGCAAAAGAGUUGGUAUUUUACAGUCCCAGCCUCACGUCCUUGUGAAAUGCCCUGUUCAUACUGGGCUACAGGGGCGGGAGCAAAAAUGAUACAAUGACAAUUCCUGGGCUGUGUUCUGCAAUAUUCUACAACACUUCCACAAGAAAACUCCAAUCUUUAAAAAUAGACUGAGCACAAUUAAACAAUCACUAUAGAUAUUUCUUUUCUUUUUUUUUUUUUUGAGAUGGAGUCUCACUCUGUCGCCCAGGCUGGAGUGCAGUGGCGCGAUCUCUGCUCACUGCAAGCUCCGCCUCCCGGGUUCACGCCAUUCUCCUGCCUCAGCCACCCGAGUAGCUGGGACUACAGGCGCCCACCACCACGCCCGGCUAAUUUUUUUGUAUUUUUAGUAGAGACGGGGUUUCACUGUGUUAGCCAGGAUGGUCUCGAUCUCCUGACCUCAUGAUCCACCCGCCUCGGCCUCCCAAAGUGCUGGGAUUACAGGCGUGAGCCGCCGCGCCCGGCCCACUAUAGAUAUUUCAACCAGAGGAAUAUAGUGAAUCAUGAUCUACCCAUCACCCAGGUUCAACAGCUCUCAGGGUUUGCCCCCUUCCUUCCAGCUCUUUCCCCUCUUUCUGCCAAAUUAUUUUAAAGCAAAUCCCAGACCUCAAGUGGACAUUUUCUAACAAAGUUGCAAUAUCCUAAACAUCUCCGAUGUUCAAAUUCCCCCAGGUGUUGCUCAGAUAUUUUUUUCUGGUUGCUUUUCCAGAAAUUCAACAAGGACCACACGGCAUUUGGUUGUUAAGUUUCUAACUUCUCUUUGGUUGACAGUGAUCCCCUCUCCUUCAUUUUACUUUUAAUGCCACUGCUUGUUGAAUUCCUGGGAGCAGUUGCUCUGUGGGAUGCCCCACAUCCAGGAUUUGUCAGUCUGCUGCCUCAUGGUGUCAUUUCAAUUCCUUCUGCAGAUGGAUGCCGCUGGACAUCCUUGCCAAGGUGUGUCAGUUUCAAUUAAACCCAGAAUGGGGUGUUGGAGCUCAAAGGAGCCAUUGUCAAGCCAUUGCCUGAGCAAAGGAAGGUGUUUUUUUUUUUUUUUCUUCCUGUCGCCCAGGCUGGAGUGCAGUGGUAUGAUCUCGGCUCACUGCAACCUCUGCCUCCUGGGUUCAAGCAAUUCUCCUGCCUCAGCCUUUUGAGUAGCUGGGAUUACAGGCAUGUGCCACCAUGCUCAGCUAAUUUUUGUAUUUUUUUAGUAGAGAUGGGGUUUCACCAUGUUGGUCAGGCUGGUCUCAAACUCCUGACCUCGUGAUUUGCCUGCCGUGGCCUCCCAAAGUGCUGGGAUUGCAGGUGUGAGCCACCGUGCCUGGCCUGUGUUUUAAGAUGAUUUCCUGGAUUCUUGUUGAACUACCAAGGCAGGUGUUUGCUCCCAGGCUUCACCAUCAAAUUCCCUAACGGCUGUGUUCUGGGUUGAGUCACUUUAAUGAGCUGCCCUGCCGUUCCCAGGUGAGAUGUCAAUUAGAAUUUGCAAUCCCAAUACCAGGGCCACGUUCUCACCACCUGAAGAAACCCUAACAGUCGAGACAGAAUGAAUGAAGGACAGAUCAAUGGGCUGGGUCUGUACAAGCACACCCAUAGGGCAACCCAAGGGCACGUUAUUUUGGUCUGAGUUAUCUCCUGAGUCAUGGACAUGAGUCUGGGAAGGUCAAGGUUCGCCUGUUAUCGUUAUGGAAAGACACUGACCUUAUGUGCUGGGCUGUGCCGUGGGCGCCUUCUUAUUACAUCCUCAGAACAGCCUCAGGAUGGCUCAUGAUUCCCUCAAUCACAGAUGAGGACCUGAGGCUCAGGAAAGAUACAUUUGCAUCUUGUAGGUCUGGGUUCAGCCUGGACCCACGGUUUCCAUGCUUGCCCUGACCCUUCAUUCCCUCCAUUCCCUCCCAGCAGCCAGUCAGUGGCUGUCCAGACAUGUGCACCAGCUGUGCUGCACCUCCACCAUAAAAACUCCUCCAAUCACUUCCCACUGCUCCCCAUGUGAACCCCAAGGGGGCUCACCCUGUCCCAGGAGGUUCUGCCUGAUCCACACCCCCCACCCCUUCCUGCAUCCCUGCAACCUGCUCUCCCUACGUCCUCAGUCCUGGCGUCCUCUCUGUUCC
Molecule: long non-coding RNA, 4087 nt
Filed under: Homo sapiens (human)
Lineage: Eukaryota; Metazoa; Chordata; Mammalia; Primates; Hominidae
Description: non-protein coding lnc-NCOA3-7:2
Source: RNAcentral